Molecule: ribosomal RNA, 245 nt
Filed under: uncultured bacterium
Lineage: Bacteria
Description: partial small subunit ribosomal RNA
Rfam family: Bacterial small subunit ribosomal RNA
Source: RNAcentral
AGAAUCAACGCUGGCGGCGUGCCUAACACAUGCAAGUCGCACGAGAAAGGGGAGCAAUUCCUGAGUAAAGUGGCGCACGGGUGAGUAACACGUGAAUAAUCUACCUCCGAGUGGGGAAUAACUGAGAGAAAUCUUAGCUAAUACCGCAUAACACUUACGAGUCAAAGCAGCAAUGCGCUUGGAGAGGAGUUCGCGGCCGAUUAGUUAGUUGGCGGGGUAAUGGCCCACCAAGACUAUGAUCGGUA